UGUUGCUAUGGUGCUGAUUUCGUUGCUAUGCAAAUUGUUUUAUCUUUUUUCAAUAUCAUUAAAUAAUUUUAUUCGAAAAAAUCAUUAAUACACUUCUUUUAAAAAAUACACUGUGUUUUAUUGUACCCUUUUUUAUAUAUCCACCAGAGCAUAUUACUUUCUAUCUAAUUAUUACAUCAUUUUAGUGGUAUUUUGAACCUCAAAAGUGUGUUAACAUUGAGUCUUGUUGCUAUGGCAACGCAUGGGACAAAACAAAAACCACUUGGCAGAAAAAAGUUUUUUAUCAUAUACUACAAUAUGACAAUUGUUUGGAGUGAUUUUGAAACAACCCAUUUACCACCCCCUGCAUGGUCCUUACGAAGAACUGUACUUAAA
RNAcentral lists this long non-coding RNA (375 nucleotides) under Mytilus galloprovincialis (Mediterranean mussel). The record is from RNAcentral. Lineage: Eukaryota; Metazoa; Mollusca; Bivalvia; Mytilida; Mytilidae.